RNAcentral lists this ribosomal RNA (252 nucleotides) under uncultured bacterium. Its description in RNAcentral is "partial 16S ribosomal RNA". It matches the Rfam family "Bacterial small subunit ribosomal RNA", at positions 524 to 776 of the family's 1533-position model. The record is from RNAcentral.
UACGGGGGGGGCAAGCGUUGUUCGGAAUUACUGGGCGUAAGGGCUCGUAGGCGGCCAACUAAGUCAGACGUGAAAUCCCUCGGCUUAACCGGGGAACUGCGUCUGAUACUGGAUGGCUUGAGUGUGGGAGAGGAAUGCGGAAUUCCAGGUGUAGCGGUGAAAUGCGUAGAUAUCUGGAGGAACACCGGUGGCGAAGGCGGCAUUCUGGACCAUUACUGACGCUGAGGAGCGAAAGCCAGGGGAGCAAACGGG